RNAcentral lists this unclassified non-coding RNA (336 nucleotides) under soil metagenome. RNAcentral describes it as "partial contains 5.8S ribosomal RNA, internal transcribed spacer 2, and large subunit ribosomal RNA". The stretch from base 1 to 120 matches the Rfam family "5.8S ribosomal RNA", at positions 35 to 154 of the family's 154-position model. The record is from RNAcentral.
GAUGAAGAACGUAGCGAAAUGCGAUAAGUAAUGUGAAUUGCAGAAUUCAGUGAAUCAUCGAAUCUUUGAACGCACAUUGCGCCCGCCAGUAUUCUGGCGGGCAUGCCUGUUCGAGCGUCAUUUCAACCAUCAAGCCCCCGGCUUGUGUUGGGGACCUGCGGCUGCCGCAGGCCCUGAAAAGCAGUGGCGGGCUCGCUGUCACACCGAGCGUAGUAGCAUACAUCUCGCUCUGGGCGUGCUGCGGGUUCCGGCCGUUAAACCACCUUCAUAACUCAAGGUUGACCUCGGAUCAGGUAGGAAGACCCGCUGAACUUAAGCAUAUCAAUAAGCGGAGGA